UGAGCAAUCUGCCCUUCUCAUCGGAAUAAGCGUUGGAAACGACGUCUAAUGCCGAAUACGACCUCCUUUCGCAUGAUCGUAGGUGGAAAGCUCCGGCGGAGAAGGAUGAGCUCGCGGCCUAUCAGCUAGUUGGUGUGGGUAAUGGCCCACCAAGGCGACGACGGGUAGCCGGCCUGGAGGAGGGCGACCAGCCACACGUGGGACUGAGAUACGGCCCAGACCUCCGUAGGGAG
This 233-nucleotide ribosomal RNA is filed under the name uncultured bacterium. Its description in RNAcentral is "partial 16S ribosomal RNA". It matches the Rfam family "Bacterial small subunit ribosomal RNA", at positions 118 to 347 of the family's 1533-position model. The record is from RNAcentral.